AGCGAACGCUGGCGGCAGGCUUAACACAUGCAAGUCGAGCGGGCGUAGCAAUACGUCAGCGGCAGACGGGUGAGUAACGCGUGGGAACAUACCUUUUGGUUCGGAACAACACAGGGAAACUUGUGCUAAUACCGGAUAAGCCCUUACGGGGAAAGAUUUAUCGCCGAAAGAUUGGCCCGCGUCUGAUUAGCUAGUUGGUGAGGUAACGGCUCACCAAGGCGACGAUCAGUAGCUGGCUGAGAGGAUGAUCAGCCACAUUGGGACUGAGACACGGCCCAAACUCCUACGGGAGGCAGCAGUGGGGAAUAUUGGACAAUGGGCGAAAGCCUGAUCCAGCCAUGCCGCGUGAGUGAUGAAGGCCCUAGGGUUGUAAAGCUCUUUUGUGCGGGAAGAUAAUGACGGUA
This 404-nucleotide ribosomal RNA is filed under the name uncultured bacterium. RNAcentral describes it as "bacterial SSU rRNA". It matches the Rfam family "Bacterial small subunit ribosomal RNA", at positions 29 to 477 of the family's 1533-position model. The record is from RNAcentral.